Molecule: transfer RNA, 72 nt
Filed under: Elusimicrobiota bacterium
Lineage: Bacteria; Pseudomonadati; Elusimicrobiota
Description: Elusimicrobia bacterium (groundwater metagenome) tRNA-Thr
Rfam family: tRNA
About the family: Transfer RNA (tRNA) molecules are approximately 80 nucleotides in length. Their secondary structure includes four short double-helical elements and three loops (D, anti-codon, and T loops).
Source: RNAcentral
GCCGAGGUAGCUCAACGGUAGAGCAAUCGCUUCGUAAGCGAUAGGUUGUGGGUUCGAGCCCCAUCCUCGGCU